UUGAUUGGAGCUGCGAUCAAGGCUCCUCGCAUUACUUCUAAAAAUCUGAUCAGUGUAAUCUUUUGUGAAGCUGUUGCUAUAUAUGGUGUUAUUGUGGCGAUUAUUCUACAAACAAAACUAGAGAGUGUUCCUACUGCACAGAUAUCUGCUCCAGAGUCCCUUAGAGCUGGAUAUGCAAUAUUUGCCUCUGGGAUCAUUGUAGGCUUUGCUAACCUUGUCUGUGGGCUGUGUGUAGGAAUAAUUGGCAGCAGCUGUGCACUGUCUGAUGCUCAAAACUCCUCACUCUUUGUGAAAAUUCUUGUGAUUGAGAUCUUUGGUAGUGCGCUUGGGUUGUUUGGAGUGAUCGUUGGAAUAAUUAUGUCAGCUCAAGCGACAUGGCCUGCAAAAACAGCGUGAUUGUUGUUCUUUCCAGAACACGAAAAUCAAUCGUGACGGAGUGCAUAUUUGUUAUGCAAUGCCAAAUAGACUGUAUUUUAUUCUUUUAAUAUUUCUUGUUAGGCAUGUAAAAACUGAUAUGGAAAUGAGAUGCUAUCUUCUUUUGAUUUUAGUCGUAGACUGCAUUUACCCAACUGAAAAAUAAGAUCUUGAGCAAA
This 593-nucleotide unclassified non-coding RNA is filed under the name Hevea brasiliensis (rubber tree). Lineage: Eukaryota; Viridiplantae; Streptophyta; Magnoliopsida; Malpighiales; Euphorbiaceae. The record is from RNAcentral.